This is a long non-coding RNA of Suricata suricatta (meerkat), 302 nucleotides long. RefSeq lists it as uncharacterized. The record is from RefSeq and is a predicted model, not a curated record. The transcript is spliced from 2 exons. Lineage: Eukaryota; Metazoa; Chordata; Mammalia; Carnivora; Herpestidae.
AGUCACUGGUGUUUUGAACACAAAAAGAGCUUUCAAAGUGAAAGAACCAAUUUGAAAAAGUUUCGGCACCACUGAUGGGCCAGGAGAAAAUGGGACUUUCCCAGUUGUGGAAUGGCAAGCGCUCCUUCGCCUUGAGGGCAGCAAUGAACAAGUAUGGAAAUUUAGAUGAACGAGUGAAAACGUGGAAAGAACCUGGGUCUUUGAGAAUGUGAUUAGACUUCUGAAUGAAUCAGUUCUGGAGUCUCCCUUAUUUGGAAUUCCUUGUGAUGAGAGACAAUAAAUCCUUUUACUUUUGAAACCAU